CAUCGUUGUUUAUAGCAUUAACAUAUUGGGGUUGUAGUCGAAUUACGGAAAACGUGAAGGACUUGUAAAUAAUUAUUAGAAAGGAAGUAGGAGUAUAAAAGCUGUACUGUGAAAUCUCUAAAUUAAUUCUUCACACACUGCAGAGAGAGUUACGCACCGUCACAAUCUUCAGAUGUCAUUGCAUAUUGGAAACCUAUCAGCUGGCACUCGUAUAGAUGACCUUCAACGUGUUUUCCGGAAGUUUGGUAGGUGUACUGUAAGGGUGAAGGACAAGUAUGGGUUUGUAGUUUACGAUUAUCCUGCCGGUGCUGAAAAAGCUCUUAAAACACUUUGUGGGACAAGGAUUUGUGGUCAGGCCAUAACAAUAUCAUGGUCUAAACGGCAGCCUCAUAAAUCUCAAAGGCCCCCCACUGGGGAGAAGUUGAACGAGCAACCACAUAGAAAGUACUCAAUGAAAGAAUACGCUCAUCGAAGGUCGACCUCAUAUGGUCGACGAGAGAAAGAGUUGAACCCUCACAAAGCAGAUGUCGAACUUAGAACUGAUUCUUCCAACUUAAUCUAUGAAUCAACUAGGCACCGUCCAGAUGAUUCAAAGCCUUAUGUGAGAGAAAGCAGUCAUACUUCUCCGACUGUUCAUCAUGGGAUAGGAGAUGGUAGAAAGAACCAUGUGAAUGUUAGUAGGUGGGAUGAGCCGGCUAUAGACCCCUUAAGUGAAAUUUAUUUGGAAAAUAACUUGGACUUUGACCGUUAUGAGCCUCAUGACAGUGAUGGUAAAAAGGAAUUGGAUGAGCGAUCUGACAUAUCUCAUUUGGUGGGUUCAUCUUCUGUCAAGAAGGUCCAAGAUAGAAGAGGGCUUUCCUACAAUGAAAAAUCUCAAAAGAGUUGCUGUAUUUGUGGGGAGUUGGGCCACAAAAGGAGCAACUGCCCACUAGAGCCAAAGAGGCAUGUCUCUGAUUGUCAACCAAGGCCACAUCAGAGUGGUGACACUUUUCCCCUCAGUAGUCAGGACAGUGACAGGAAGCCAACAACUUCAAAAACCAAUCUGAAAUUGCUGAGGCGUGGAGAUUCUUCCACUCAGGAAAUUGCUCCUAGAGGUAGGGGGAAUGAGUUCAAAGAUAAAAAAAGAAAUUGGAGGGAUUACGAAAGUCAAGAUAAAAGUCAUUUUCAGAGAGCAAUAGGUCCAUCGUCAUCUUCAAUCCACUCUAAUGAUAAUUCAUCCAGAUCACAGUCACCUUCUAGAUCAUCUCAACCCUCAUCACGGUUCAAGUUGAAGUCAAUACAUCCAGAGAAAUUUUCCUUACCUUCUUCUUAUGGAUCUUCACCUUCACGCCAUUCUGGAUAUAAAACCUUAAAGUCACCACGGUCUAAAGCUGGGUCAAUGUCGCCUACCUCUUCAUUAUUACCUAAAGAAGUCAAUCAUAGUGUAUCUCCCUCUCCAAAUAAAGCUCAGGGAAAUUCCAAGGGCUCUUUGGCAAAUGUUGUUGCCUUUCAACAAUGUGCGGAUUUAUUCGAAGAGGAAACACAGUUGGUGAUGCCAAAGGAUUCAUCUGGAAAGGAUAAUAAUCUUUGGCAUUCUUCUUCCAAGGGCUCACUUGAGUCAUAUGUACCACUUUCAGAUGGUGAUGGGCAUAUUGUUGAUAAUCUAUCUCUGCACUUGAUGAAAGGGAUAAGAGAUUCACAACUUGAGCGACAUGUAGCUGCAACAGAAUGUAACAAUCAAUCAAUUUUGAAUGCUUCCAGAGAAGCGAGAAUGUCGUUAGAGGAAGUACACAUGGUUAUGAAACAUUAUGGCUUGCAACUCCCAGAGGAAAAUGAAAAGGACUUACCUGUUGAAGUUUAUUUUGGUUCCGCCCGCUUUUGGCCUUGGGAGAUGAUUUACUAUAGGAGAUUAAAGAAGGGUCCUAUAUCAGCUGAGAACUAUUCAAGGAGAAGUGCUCAGAAUGCUGAGUAUGGAAUUGUUGACAGACAUGUUAGAGGCAGCAGUGGAUGGGGAGAACUUCAUGAAAAUUCUUGAGUACCUUUUUCUGUGGCACUGGCAGGUACAGUAUAUCUCUUCUCGCCUUGUUCUUAAGCGUGUUGCUGAAAUUCAUUUAGAAACCUGGCGUCAUCUUUCAUCAUGCUGUCAUGGGAUAUGACAUGACACACAAGACUUGUAGGUUUCUCCUGGUUAUAAUUGCUAUCAAAAAGUCCCUGGAAUAUUUUGAAAAAAGAGGCAAAUAUUUGCAACAACCAAUCAUCAAGAAGACACUCAUCAAUAUAUAGCGUAUUAGCGUUUGGAGCACUGACCAGAGAGUGAGGCUUCUGUUGGCACAUCAAAUGGCUGCCAGAGCAGAUGUCUUGAGGGCUUGAAGGUCUAUCAAAGACAUUUCUUAUCACCCAACCCAUAUUCUAUGUACCCAAAGCCGCUCCCCUGCAGUCAGGCAUGGCUAUUGGGAUGCAAACCAUUGCUAUCCUUGGUGUAAGGCAAUGAAAGGAAAUUCCGUGGCUGAAGCAGAAGAACAUCUGAACAUGUAUUUGUGGUGCAGUCACAGUAGGUAAUGUGCUUUGGCGGGGAAGCUUUUCUCAUCUCUAGCUUUACUCCUUUCAGUAUAAAGUGGCGGUGUCAUGGAGGAAGUCGAGCAGCACAGUGCUCUUGCACUGGGGGCACCUCGGAUCCUCCUCCGACAGCAUCACAUACAUGAGGCAACGGGGGCAUCCCACCAGCAUCAUCGAGUUCUCCUCAUGGCCCUCCAAGUAGCGGAACUGAUCCUCCUGGUGGUUCGCCUCCGACGAGACACAUGAGCUCGUUGGCGAAACAGACGGUGAGCGCCUCCUCGGAGACUCCUCACUAACGCGGCGCCCAGCCCUCGGCGGGGACAAGUUCAACUUGAGAUCAAGCUUCGCACCGUUCCUUCGGCUCAUCGUUUCAAGGGAAAAUGCAUGUACUGGUUGGUAGCUGGAUAUACUUAUCCAACGUGUUAUCUCCGGGCUUAUUAUCUACGUGGCGAAGGACGUUUGAGGUGUAAUUUAAACCUGAUAAAAAAAUGCUUACUUGGCAAAACGAAUUGGCCAACAUAGAAAUAUACCCAAAUCCAAGUGGGAAAUGCCCAACACUAAAAUUCAUGAUUUUUACGGUCAAGUUUUAUGAUUGAGCCAAAAAUAAAAAAUUUAGCCAAAGCUUGUGAUACUAGCAAAAACAUCGAAAUACCAAAAAAAUAUUUAAAUAUCAAAUCUUUUGGCAUAUCGUGAUUUUUGGUGUGGCGUGACAUAUUACUAAAAGAUUAGGUGUUUUUGUGUUUUGAUUAGUUUGCCAAGUAAGCAUUUUUUUAUUUGGUUCAAUUGCAGCUCUAGCAUCCAUUGCCACGUAGAUAAUUAAUACUCAGUAUUCAAUUUUAAUUGUCAAAAAAUAUUUGAUCAGUUAUUUAAGUUGUACAUGUUCCUUGAGUGA
This is a non-coding RNA of Salvia hispanica, 3427 nucleotides long. The record is from RefSeq and is a predicted model, not a curated record. NCBI's taxonomy places the organism in Eukaryota, Viridiplantae, Streptophyta, Magnoliopsida, Lamiales, Lamiaceae.